CGGGGGGCUCCAACAGGCCCCCCUCAUCCCCAUCCAGCCGCGCAAGGUGCAGUGCAAGGUGCUGGUGCUGUGCAAGGAGCUGUGCAAGGUGUUGGCGCAAGGUGCCGUGCAAAGGCCCUGUGCCAGGUAAGCUGCUGUGCAAGGUGCUGCGCGAGGUGCUGCCGCUGUGCAAGGUGUCGGUGCAAGGUGCUGUGCAAAGGCCGUGCCAUGCAAGGUGCUGCCACUGUGCAAGGUGCUCUGCCAAGUGCCGGUGCCGUGCAAGGUGCUGUGCAAGGGGUUGUGCAAACACCCUGCUACGGCAGGUGCCACGCAACAGCCCCGUUGUUCAGGGAGUUGUGCGAGGCGCUGUGCAAAGGCCCCGCUGUGCAAAACGCUGUGCAAGGUGCCGGUGCUGUGCAAGGUGCCAGGGCUGUGCAAGGUGUCAGGGCCGUGCAAGGUGUUGUGCAAGUGCCACGCAAAGGCCCUGCUGUGCAAGGUGCUCUGCAAGGUGCUCUGUGAAGUGCUCUGCAGUACGAGGCACUGUGCAAAGGCCCCGUUCAAGGCGUUGUGCGAGGUGUUGUGCAAAGGCCCUGCUGUGCAAGGUGUCUGCAAGAUGCCGGUGCUGUGCAAGGUGCCGUGCAAGGUGCCGUGCAAAGGCCCUGCUACUAAAGGUGCUGUGCAAGAUGCCAGCGCUGUGCAAGGUGCUGUGCAAGAUGCCAGCGCUGAGCAAGGUGCUGUGCAAGGUGCCAUACAAGGUGCCGUGCAAAGGCCCUGCUGCGCAAGGUGCUGUGCAAGAUGCCGGUGCUGUGCAAGGUGCCAUACAAGGCUCCGUGCAAAGGCCCUGCUGUGCAAGGUGCUGUGCAAGACGCCGGUGCUGUGCAAGGUGCCAUGCAAGGCUCCGUGCAAAGGCCCUGCCGUGCAAGGUGCUGUGCAAGGCGCUCUGCAAAGCGCCGCUGCAAUGCGAAGUGCCACGCAGAGGCCCUGCAGCGCGAUGCAUUGUGCAAGGUGCAGCCCGAGGAGUUGUGCAAGGAGUUGUGCAAGGCGCCACGCCACGCACGGUCAGGCUCCCUGCAAGCUGCGAGCAGCGGGGCACAGAGGGGCAGGGUCCGGGGGGGGGGGGGGGGGGUGCGGUGCCACCCAGGCGAGGCAUCUUCCGGGUGCAAACGGAGCCGCCAUAGGGCCGGAGCCGCCCUUCUCCGGGCACCCGAGGGUGACCCCACGGAGUCGCCGGGGUCCCCGCCACGCAGCGGGGGCCCGCCGGGCGCCCUCCCCGCCGGGCUGGGCCGGCCCCGCUGCCGGGAAGUCCCCGCGGCCUCCUCGAGGCCCUGGUUCCACAAAGGCGCCCGCUAACGCUAACGAAGCCGGGCGCACGCGAGAGCAGCGGCGCUGCUGCAGCGGGGCCGAGCAGGAAACAAUUACUCACGGCGCCCGCCCGCCCGCCGCGGGGCCACCCUGCACCGGGGGUGUGGGACACGGGGUGGCCCCACCCUGGCGGUGCGGGGACCCCAAAGCACCGUGGUGUGGGUGCAGGGACCCCGAAGCCCUAUGGUAUGGGUGCGGCAGCCCACAGCCCAGUGCUCUGGGUGCGGGGACCCUAAAGCACCACGCUCUGGGUGCAGGGACCCCGCAGCCCUAUGCAGUGGGUGCAGGGACCCCAUAGCCUCAUGUUGUGGGUGCAGGGACCCUAAAGCACCAUGCAGUGGGUGCAGGGACCCUAAAGCACCAUGCUCUGGGUGCAGGGACCCCAAAGCCCUGUGCUGUGGGUGCAGGGACCCUAAAGCACCACGCAGUGGGUGCAGAGACCCCAAAGCCCUACUCUGUGGGUACAGCACCCCAUAACCCCACACAGUGGGUGCAGGGACCCCA
This is a long non-coding RNA of Anser cygnoides (Swan goose), 1845 nucleotides long. NCBI's taxonomy places the organism in Eukaryota, Metazoa, Chordata, Aves, Anseriformes, Anatidae. The record is from Ensembl.